Molecule: ribosomal RNA, 588 nt
Filed under: uncultured Methanosaeta sp.
Lineage: Archaea; Methanobacteriati; Methanobacteriota; Methanomicrobia; Methanotrichales; Methanotrichaceae
Description: bacterial SSU rRNA
Rfam family: Archaeal small subunit ribosomal RNA
Source: RNAcentral
AAGGAUGGGUCUGCGGCCUAUCAGGUAGUAGUGGGUGUAGCGUACCUACUAGCCUACGACGGGUACGGGUUGUGAGAGCAAGAGCCCGGAGAUGGAUUCUGAGACACGAAUCCAGGCCCUACGGGGUGCAGCAGGCGCGAAAACUUUACAAUGCUGGCAACAGCGAUAAGGGAACCUCGAGUGCCAGGUUACAAAUCUGGCUGUCGAGAUGCCUAAAAAGCAUUUCAUAGCAAGGGCCGGGCAAGACCGGUGCCAGCCGCCGCGGUAACACCGGCGGCUCGAGUGGUAACCGUUAUUAUUGGGUCUAAAGGGUCUGUAGCCGGCCGGAUAAGUCUCUUGAGAAAUCUGGCAGCUUAACUGUCAGGCUUUCAGGAGAUACUGUCUGGCUCGAGGCCGGGAGAGGUGAGAGGUACUUCAGGGGUAGGGGUGAAAUCUUGUAAUCCUUGAAGGACCACCAGUGGCGAAGGCGUCUCACCAGAACGGACCUGACGGCAAGGGACGAAAGCUAGGGGCACGAACCGGAUUAGAUACCCGGGUAGUCCUAGCCGUAAACGAUACUCGCUAGGUGUCGGCCACGGUGCGACCGUU